GAUGAACGCUGGCGGCGUACCUAAUACAUGCAAGUCGAGCGAACAGACGAGGAGCUUGCUCCUCUGACGUUAGCGGCGGACGGGUGAGUAACACGUGGAUAACCUACCUAUAAGACUGGGAUAACUUCGGGAAACCGGAGCUAAUACCGGAUAAUAUAUUGAACCGCAUGGUUCAAUAGUGAAAGACGGUUUUGCUGUCACUUAUAGAUGGAUCCGCGCCGCAUUAGCUAGUUGGUAAGGUAACGGCUUACCAAGGCGACGAUGCGUAGCCGACCUGAGAGGGUGAUCGGCCACACUGGAACUGAGACACGGUCCAGACUCCUGCGGGAGGCAGCAGUAGGGAAUCGUCCGCAAUGGGCGAAAGCCUGACGGAGCAACGCCGCGUGAGUGAUGAAGGUCUUCGGAUCGUAAAACUCUGUUAUUAGGGAAGAACAAAUGUGUAAGUAACUAUGCACGUCUUGACGGUACCUAAUCAGAAAGCCACGGCUAACUACGUG
Molecule: ribosomal RNA, 497 nt
Filed under: uncultured bacterium
Lineage: Bacteria
Description: partial 16S ribosomal RNA
Rfam family: Bacterial small subunit ribosomal RNA
Source: RNAcentral